CCUACGGGAGGCAGCAGUGGGGAAUAUUGCGCAAUGGGCGAAAGCCUGACGCAGCGACGCCGCGUGAGGGAUGAAGGUCUUCGGAUCGUAAACCUCUGUCAGCAGGGAAGAACGGUCACUGUGCUAAUCAGCAGUGAAUUGACGGUACCUGCAAAGGAAGCACCGGCUAACUCCGUGCCAGCAGCCGCGGUAAUACGGAGGGUGCGAGCGUUAAUCGGAAUUACUGGGCGUAAAGCGCUCGUAGUCGGUAUGUCAAGUCAAGGGUGAAAUCCCCGCGCUCAACGUGGGAACUGCCUUUGAAACUGGCAAACUGGAGUGUGUGAGAGGAUAGUGGAAUUCCAGGUGUAGGAGUGAAAUGCGUAGAUAUCUGGAGGAACAUCAGUGGCGAAGGCGACUAUCUGGCACAUAACUGACGCUGAGGAGCGAAAGCGUGGGUAGCAAACAGGAUUAGAUACCCCAGUAGUC
Molecule: ribosomal RNA, 465 nt
Filed under: uncultured bacterium
Lineage: Bacteria
Description: partial 16S ribosomal RNA
Rfam family: Bacterial small subunit ribosomal RNA
Source: RNAcentral